Molecule: ribosomal RNA, 466 nt
Filed under: uncultured bacterium
Lineage: Bacteria
Description: partial 16S ribosomal RNA
Rfam family: Bacterial small subunit ribosomal RNA
Source: RNAcentral
CUACGGGGCGCUCCAGUGGGGAAUAUUGGACAAUGGGGGAAACCCUGAUCCAGCAAUGCCGCGUGUGUGAAGAAGGCCUGCGGGUUGUAAAGCACUUUCGGUUGGGAGGACUGCUUCUAGCACUAAUAUUGUUGGAAGUUGACGUUACCUUCAGAAGAAGCACCGGCUAACUCCGUGCCAGCAGCCGCGGGUAAUACGGAGGGUGCAAGCGUUAAUCGGAAUUACUGGGCGUAAAGCGCGCGUAGGCGGCUAGAUCAGUCGGGUGUGAAAGCCCCGGGCUUAACCUGGGAACUGCAUCCGAUACUGGCUAGCUUGAGUACAGGAGAGGAGAGUGGAAUUCCACAUGUAGCGGUGAAAUGCGUAGAUAUGUGGAGGAACACCAAUGGCGAAGGCAGCUCUCUGGCCUGAUACUGACGCUGAGGUGCGAAAGCGUGGGGAGCAAACAGGAUUAGAUACCCGGGUAGUC